This 491-nucleotide ribosomal RNA is filed under the name uncultured bacterium. Its description in RNAcentral is "partial 16S ribosomal RNA". It matches the Rfam family "Bacterial small subunit ribosomal RNA", at positions 29 to 506 of the family's 1533-position model. The record is from RNAcentral.
AGUGAACGCUGGCGGUAGGCCUAACACAUGCAAGUCGAACGGCAGCACAGUAAGAGCUUGCUCUUACGGGUGGCGAGUGGCGGACGGGUGAGGAAUACAUCGGAAUCUACUUUUUCGUGGGGGAUAACGUAGGGAAACUUACGCUAAUACCGCAUACGACCUACGGGUGAAAGCAGGGGAUCUUCGGACCUUGCGCGAUUGAAUGAGCCGAUGUCGGAUUAGCUAGUUGGCGGGGUAAAGGCCCACCAAGGCGACGAUCCGUAGCUGGUCUGAGAGGAUGAUCAGCAACACUGGAACUGAGAGACGGUCCAGACUCCUACGGGAGGCAGCAGUGGGGAAUAUUGGACAAUGGGCGCAAGCCUGAUCCAGCCAUACCGCGUGGGUGAAGAAGGCCUUCGGGUUGUAAAGCCCUUUUGUUGGGAAAGAAAAGCAGCAGGUUAAUACCCCGCUGUUCUGACGGGACCCAAAGAAUAAGCACCGGCUAACUUCGU